Molecule: ribosomal RNA, 490 nt
Filed under: uncultured bacterium
Lineage: Bacteria
Description: partial 16S ribosomal RNA
Rfam family: Bacterial small subunit ribosomal RNA
Source: RNAcentral
AUUGAACGCUGGCGGCAGGCCUAACACAUGCAAGUCGAACGGUAACAGGAAGACGCUUGCUUCUUUGCUGACGAGUGGCGGACGGGUGAGUAAUGUCUGGGAAACUGCCUGAUGGAGGGGGAUAACUACUGGAAACGGUAGCUAAUACCGCAUAACGUCGCAAGACCAAAGAGGGGGACCUUCGGGCCUCUUGCGAUCGGAUGUGCCCAGCUGGGAUUAGCUAGUAGGUGGGGUAACGGCUCACCUAGGCGACGAUCCCUAGCUGGGCUGAGAGGAUGAACAGCCACACUGGAACUGAGACACGGUCCAGACUCCUACGGGAGGCAGCAGUGGGGAAUAUUGCACAAUGGGCGCAAGCCUGAUGCAGCCAUGCCGCGUGUAUGAAGAAGGCCUUCGGGUUGUAAAGUACUUUCAGCGGGGAGGAAGGGAGUAAAGUUAAUACCUUGGCUCAUUGACGUUACCCGCAGAAGAAGCACCGGCUAACUCCGUG